Molecule: ribosomal RNA, 255 nt
Filed under: uncultured bacterium
Lineage: Bacteria
Description: partial 16S ribosomal RNA
Rfam family: Bacterial small subunit ribosomal RNA
Source: RNAcentral
CGUAGGUGGCGAGCGUUGUCCGGAUUUACUGGGCGUAAAGGGAGCGUAGGCGGAUUUUUAAGUGAGAUGUGAAAUACUCGGGCUUAACCUGAGUGCUGCAUUUCAAACUGGAAGUCUAGAGUGCAGGAGAGGAGAAGGGAAUUCCUAGUGUAGCGGUGAAAUGCGUAGAGAUUAGGAAGAACACCAGUGGCGAAGGCGCUUCUCUGGACUGUAACUGACGCUGAGGCUCGAAAGCGUGGGGGAGCAAACAGGAUU